RNA transcript from Cucurbita moschata (crookneck pumpkin), 1942 nucleotides. It is a transcript of the gene named probable DNA-3-methyladenine glycosylase 2, with no coding region annotated. NCBI's taxonomy places the organism in Eukaryota, Viridiplantae, Streptophyta, Magnoliopsida, Cucurbitales, Cucurbitaceae. The record is from RefSeq and is a predicted model, not a curated record. The transcript has 3 exons.
GAGAAAUCGAAAGCCAGUUGGGAUCAAGAACGGAGGAGCGAGCGACCGGAAACGGAGACGGAGAAGAGAAAGAGAGAGCAUGAAAGAAGAACAGCAGCACCGGGAUCUCCUUCUUCAUUCGCGAUGCCAUUGAAAAUUCAUUUGUGCUUUCUGUCCUGUUCUAUUUCGCAAUUGAUUUUCAAUUUCUCUUUCUGUUAGACUCCAAACACUUAUGCUCUGCACCUUGGUUAUCGAAUUUCGCCCCUUUUCUGAUUCUCCGCCGCCGUCGCCGCCGCCGUCUUGACUCCGACUCUUACACUGUGUUUCCUCUCAACCGAAGAGUCUGAGUGGAGGGAAAAUAGAGGUUGAAUUGAAUUUCUUACAUAUGGGAGAGCAAACGCAAGUGCAGGUUCAGACUCAAACGCAAUCGCAGGCUCAGAACGCGCUUCAUGAAUCCUCCAACUCUACAACCACUAUUGCUCAAGCCACUAUAGCACUAAGCGAGGUGAUGAAUGCGCCAUCGCAAACCUCUUCUCUGCCAUCCAAAAUGCCUUUGCGUCCACGGAAAAUUCGAAAGCUCUCGCCCGCUGAAUCGGAUCCGAAUUCCUCUCAGAUUGUCACCAUUCCGGAUGGGCCGAAACCUAUCGUCACCGGGAAAUCUCACAAGAGCAAGACGGCCCAACAACGCGCCGCCUUCGCGUCUGCUCCAGUGCUGCCAGCCCGAUCACUUUCCUGUGAAGGCGAGGUGGAAAUCGCGCUUCGGCAUCUUGGGAAUGCGGAUCCGCUCCUUGCACCUUUGAUCGACCUCCAUCAACGUCCUACCUUCGACAGUUUUCAAACCCCAUUCCUUGCCCUAACUAGAAGUAUCCUAUAUCAGCAGCUGGCUUACAAAGCUGGCACAUCUAUUUACACCCGUUUUAUCGCCCUUUGUGGCGGCGACGCUGGUGUUCUUCCCGAAACCGUUCUUGCCUUGAACACUCAACAGCUCAGGCAAAUUGGAAUUUCGGGUCGUAAAUCUAGUUAUCUUCAUGACCUUGCUAGGAAAUACCAAAAUGGGAUUCUUUCAGACACGGCAAUUGUAAAUAUGGAUGAUAAAUCGCUUUUCACGAUGCUCACAAUGGUGAAUGGAAUUGGGUCUUGGUCUGUUCAUAUGUUCAUGAUUUUCUCGCUGCACAGACCAGAUGUGCUUCCUAUCAACGAUCUUAAUGUUCGCAAAGGUGUUCGGCUUCUCUACAAUCUUGAAGAGUUGCCUCGACCAUCACAAAUGGAUCAAUUAUGCGAGAAGUGGAGGCCGUAUCGAUCGGUUGGGUCCUGGUAUAUGUGGAGGCUUGCUGAGGCAAAGGGAGCUUCUUCGAGCGCAGCAGCAGUGGCUGCUGGUGCUAGCUUACAGCUGCAGCAACAAGAGCAGCAGCAGGAGCAACAGCAUCAACGGCAGCCGCAGCUUCUUGAUCCACUCAAUAGCAUUCUCAAUCUUGGGGCCUGUGCUUGGGGGCAGUGACUCCGUUUGAAAAGAGUACAUGUUAGCAAAUAUCCCAAUCAAUGUACCCACUGAAUGAAAAGUAUGCCAAUUAUGUGGGAGCAGAGGACUCGACAACGUAUAUUCGUUCGGUACCUCGAGGUACACCAGGAAGCUUGAAUUUUGAUGAUUUUAGCUGGAGAAAUGCUGCGGUUGGGUGAGUCUUCUUCUCACUUUGGAACCAAAUAACUUUGAAUAUCCGAAAGUGACGAGACGUUGGCCAACUACUUCCCUUUUUCAUUGUGUUUGGUCUUUUGGGCAGAGCCGAUUUCAUUGGCAGUUCUCAAGCGAUGGGCCAUUUUCUGUCCCAUGCCAUAUGUUAGCAUCAAAUUGGCCUUUGGGGUGUAAUGGGUCAAAAUUGACAUCCAACUAACUUACACGUAGGUUUUAAAGAUGAAAGAUGAUAUCGACAUAUUUAAUAUCCAUCUGAUUCGAUUUUCAUAGACA